This is a long non-coding RNA of Danio aesculapii, 389 nucleotides long. RefSeq lists it as uncharacterized. The record is from RefSeq and is a predicted model, not a curated record. Lineage: Eukaryota; Metazoa; Chordata; Actinopteri; Cypriniformes; Danionidae. The transcript has 4 exons.
CGCAGGAGCGUUUUCAAAUAGCAAUUUGUAACGGCUCCUUUCCUCCAUUUCGUGACGGCUGUCAUCUCUAACACACGGAAGAACAUCCACAUAAACCCUGAAAUUGUUCUCGCAAACAGCCGUUUGAGUCACCUCAAAUGUAGCAGAGGGCCAGAUUGAAAUGGUCCGAUGCACUUCACUUGCAAUGCAGAUCAUCAUUUCUGGACAGCUUUCUACUUACUGCUGUGGACAUGAAAGGAUCGUCCUAGGCUUGCCCAUGCUGAUGGGCUGCAUCACAGCAGUACUGGAGCUGAAUUCCUGUUGGACAACAUCUUCAGGAUGCUUUGACUAGUAAGUGAAAAUCCACAUUUUAGCCAUGUAGACUUUUGCUCGUCCCACUUUAAUCACAG